GCUCCUUUAACUCAAUUGGUAGAGUAACCGGCUUUUAACCGGUAGGUUGUGGGUUCGAGUCCCAUGAGGAGCA
Molecule: transfer RNA, 73 nt
Filed under: Lachnospiraceae bacterium
Lineage: Bacteria; Bacillati; Bacillota; Clostridia; Lachnospirales; Lachnospiraceae
Also listed under: 1 other name
Description: tRNA-Lys
Rfam family: tRNA
About the family: Transfer RNA (tRNA) molecules are approximately 80 nucleotides in length.
Source: RNAcentral